CUCCACGUCAAUGCUCACACUACACGCCCCUCGAGGGCGUUAAGGAAAGCAGGGAGAGUGACAGGGCCCUUACCGCGGGACAUCAGCCUUGCUGGGGUGGGGGCGACACUGACUGCGUCCCUCAGAGGGAGAUGAGACCCUGCUUCCCGCCUCCUCCUCCACACCCCCACAACGGGGAAAUGCAAAGAGAGACACCCAGAUGGUCACGCUGCUCUCGUCGGCCACCAGGCUCACCACACAAGCACUCUUACAAAUACCAGCUGAGUCCACCUGUGGAGCAUGAUGAAGAUGACAAAGAGAGAUUUUGGAAAAGGGUCCCAAAGUCUAGAAUGGAAUCUGGAGAUGGGUGUAGGAGCACAAAUGAUGCAGACCAGAGAAAAACAGCGUGAGGGCUGGGCGACAGCUGCUCCUGUUCACUGUGAAAUCUGCCGGAGUCCAGACACCGCUCCCCAAUUUCGAGCUACAGUGACGGUACCACCAGAUUGGUUAACUCAUCCAAAGGACGGUAUAAACUGAUCCAGAAAGAGCAGACCUGUCAAAAUAUUUGUGUAAGCCCAACAACUCCAAACUGUGUGUUUUUAUUUUGCUUUGUUUUGUUUUUGAGGAAGAUUAGCCCUGAGCUAACAUCUUCUGCCAAUCCUCCUCUUCUUUCUGAGGAAGACUGGCCCUCAGCUGACAUCUGUGCCCAUCUUCUUCUACUUUAUACAUGGGAUGCCUACCACAGCAUGGCGUGCCAAGCGGUGCCAUGUCCGCACCUGGGAUCCGAACCUGUGAACCCCGGGCCACCGAGAAGCGGAACGUGUGAACUUAAGUGCUGAGCCCCCAGGCCAGCCUCAAACUGAGAAUUAAUAUGGGUUUUUCCAACUCCAUUUGCUGUGCAAGAUCCCAUAAUUAGCCUUCCAACAAUGGUCAUUUUGGUUGGAGUUAAAUAAAAGAAACAGAAUUCUGGUAUGGUAUCAUCUGAAGACAUUUAAACUAUUUGCAAGCAAUAUUCUGUCUUUGCUAUUGUAUCCAUUGGAGUUUGUGGGUUGCAAGCAACCAAAAUCAGAUGAAGGUAAUUUAAGUAAAAACAGAGUUUAUUGAAUGGCUCAGAGAAGGGGAGGCAAGGCUACAGAAACAAAUCUCAUGAGGGAAUAAGAGCUAAAUGUUAGUCUUUCUGGGGUAACACCCUUGAACAAACAAAUGAAUACUAAUUGUUUUCCACCUCUGCCUAACAUUCACAUUCCACGGGGAGAGUAGAACUGAACUUGGGAUCACAUGCCCACCCCAUGGCAGGUGAAUGCGAGACACCUUGGACACCAGUCUCAUCAGCAUUACAUCCAAUAGAUGAGACAUUCUUUUCCAAAGGAAAAUUGGGUGCAAUUUCAGGGGAGUAGAGGAUGGAAGCUUGACACUCAAAAACAAUGGAGCAUCAGGUAUAAACACAGCAUCACUAUAGGAAUUAUUAUGCCCAUAUGUCCCAUGGAGAAAGGUAAAAUUUUUGAGUCUUAAAUCAACUGUGGCGAUCUCCUUUUCAAAUGCCACCUCAAAACGACAUGUCUCUUGAC
Long non-coding RNA from Equus caballus (horse), 1547 nucleotides. Lineage: Eukaryota; Metazoa; Chordata; Mammalia; Perissodactyla; Equidae. The record is from Ensembl.